Molecule: ribosomal RNA, 549 nt
Filed under: uncultured Acidovorax sp.
Lineage: Bacteria; Pseudomonadati; Pseudomonadota; Betaproteobacteria; Burkholderiales; Comamonadaceae
Description: bacterial SSU rRNA
Rfam family: Bacterial small subunit ribosomal RNA
Source: RNAcentral
UGGGGAAUUUUGGACAAUGGGCGCAAGCCUGAUCCAGCCAUUCCGCGUGCGGGAUGAAGGCCUUCGGGUUGUAAACUGCUUUUGUACGGAACGAAAAGCCUUUCUCUAAUACAGGAAGGUCAUGACGGUACCGUAAGAAUAAGCACCGGCUAACUACGUGCCAGCAGCCGCGGUAAUACGUAGGGUGCAAGCGUUAAUCGGAAUUACUGGGCGUAAAGCGUGCGCAGGCGGUGAUGUAAGACAGAUGUGAAAUCCCCGGGCUCAACCUGGGAACUGCAUUUGUGACUGCAUCGCUGGAGUACGGCAGAGGGGGAUGGAAUUCCGCGUGUAGCAGUGAAAUGCGUAGAUAUGCGGAGGAACACCGAUGGCGAAGGCAAUCCCCUGGGCCUGUACUGACGCUCAUGCACGAAAGCGUGGGGAGCAAACAGGAUUAGAUACCCUGGUAGUCCACGCCCUAAACGAUGUCAACUGGUUGUUGGGUCUUCACUGACUCAGUAACGAAGCUAACGCGUGAAGUUGACCGCCUGGGGAGUACGGCCGCAAGGUUGA